GGAUGUGAGGGCGAUCUGGCUGCGACACCUUUCACCCCAUUGAUCGCCAGGGUUGAUUCGGCUGAUCUGGCUGGCUAGGCAGGGGUCCCCUUCCUGCCUCACUGCUCCAUGUGCGUCCCUCCCCAAGCUGCGCGCUCGGUCGGUCUAAGAGGACGACCACCCCCGAUAGAGGAGGACCUUUUCCUCGGUCAAGGGUAUACGAGUAGCUGCGCUCCCCUGCUAGAACCUGCAAACAAGCUCUCAAGAGCUCUAAAGAUAUCCUUUAAUUCGUGUCACUACUUACACUAUACAACCUGUUAAAGGAAUUUAAAUG
Molecule: non-coding RNA, 313 nt
Organism: Heterocephalus glaber (naked mole-rat)
Lineage: Eukaryota; Metazoa; Chordata; Mammalia; Rodentia; Bathyergidae
Source: Rfam